Molecule: RNase P RNA, 340 nt
Filed under: Candidatus Arthromitus sp. SFB-turkey
Lineage: Bacteria; Bacillati; Bacillota; Clostridia; Eubacteriales; Clostridiaceae
Also listed under: 1 other name
Description: Bacterial RNase P class A
Rfam family: Bacterial RNase P class A
About the family: Ribonuclease P (RNase P) is a ubiquitous endoribonuclease, found in archaea, bacteria and eukarya as well as chloroplasts and mitochondria.
Source: Rfam by way of RNAcentral
AGAGUAAAUCAGACAAUCGCUGCUUAAGAUUUUUAAGGAGAGGAAAGUCCGAGCUCCAUAGGGCAGGGUGCUUGGUAACACCAAGUGGAGGCGACUCUAAGGAAAGUGCAACAGAAAUAAACCGCCUAUUUUAUAGGUAAGGAUGGAAAGGCGAGGUAAGAGCUCACCAGCAGUAUGGUGACAUACUGGCUAUGUAAACCCCACCUGGAGCAAGACUGAAUAGGAUAGCGUUAAGGUUGCCCGCUUUGCUAUCGGGUAUGUCGCUCGAGUCUAUUGGUGACAAUAGACCUAGAUAGAUGAUUGUCUAAUACAGAACUCGGCUUAUAGAUUUGCUCUAAAU